GUUUAUAUAGUUUAAAACAAAACAUUAUAUUUUCAAUAUAAAAAUAGAAUGCUCUUAUAAAUA
RNAcentral lists this transfer RNA (63 nucleotides) under Mandarella flaviventris. RNAcentral's name for it is "tRNA-Glu". Lineage: Eukaryota; Metazoa; Arthropoda; Insecta; Coleoptera; Chrysomelidae. The record is from RNAcentral.